RNAcentral lists this transfer RNA (75 nucleotides) under Candidatus Woesearchaeota archaeon. RNAcentral's name for it is "tRNA-Arg". It matches the Rfam family "tRNA". From Rfam's summary of the family: Transfer RNA (tRNA) molecules are approximately 80 nucleotides in length. The record is from RNAcentral. Lineage: Archaea; Nanobdellati; Candidatus Woesearchaeota.
GGGCCUGUGGCGCAGCCUGGAUAGCGCAUCUGCCUUCUAAGCAGAGGGUCGUGGGUUCGAAUCCCUCCAGGCCCA